This 252-nucleotide ribosomal RNA is filed under the name uncultured bacterium. RNAcentral's name for it is "partial 16S ribosomal RNA". It matches the Rfam family "Bacterial small subunit ribosomal RNA", at positions 100 to 353 of the family's 1533-position model. The record is from RNAcentral.
GGACGGGUGAGUAAUGUCUGGGAAACUGCCUGAUGGAGGGGGAUAACUACUGGAAACGGUAGCUAAUACCGCAUAACGUCGCAAGACCAAAGAGGGGGACCUUCGGGCCUCUUGCCAUCAGAUGUGCCCAGAUGGGAUUAGCUAGUAGGUGGGGUAACGGCUCACCUAGGCGACAAUCCCUAGCUGGUCUGAGAGGAUGACCAGCCACACUGGAACUGAGACACGGUCCAGACUCCUACGGGAGGCAGCAUG